This 910-nucleotide ribosomal RNA is filed under the name uncultured bacterium. RNAcentral describes it as "bacterial SSU rRNA". It matches the Rfam family "Bacterial small subunit ribosomal RNA", at positions 338 to 1240 of the family's 1533-position model. The record is from RNAcentral.
CCUACGGGGGGCAGCAGUGGGGAAUAUUGGACAAUGGGCGGAAGCCUGAUCCAGCCAUGCCGCGUGUGUGAAGAAGGCCUUUUGGUUGUAAAGCACUUUAAGCGAGGAGGAGGCUCUCCUAGUUAAUACCUAGGAAGAGUGGACGUUACUCGCAGAAUAAGCACCGGCUAACUCUGUGCCAGCAGCCGCGGUAAUACAGAGGGUGCGAGCGUUAAUCGGAUUUACUGGGCGUAAAGCGUGCGUAGGCGGCUGAUUAAGUCGGAUGUGAAAUCCCUGAGCUUAACUUAGGAAUUGCAUUCGAUACUGGUCAGCUAGAGUAUGGGAGAGGAUGGUAGAAUUCCAGGUGUAGCGGUGAAAUGCGUAGAGAUCUGGAGGAAUACCGAUGGCGAAGGCAGCCAUCUGGCCUAAUACUGACGCUGAGGUACGAAAGCAUGGGGAGCAAACAGGAUUAGAUACCCUGGUAGUCCAUGCCGUAAACGAUGUCUACUAGCCGUUGGGGCCUUUGAGGCUUUAGUGGCGCAGCUAACGCGAUAAGUAGACCGCCUGGGGAGUACGGUCGCAAGACUAAAACUCAAAUGAAUUGACGGGGGCCCGCACAAGCGGUGGAGCAUGUGGUUUAAUUCGAUGCAACGCGAAGAACCUUACCUGGCCUUGACAUACUAGAAACUUUCCAGAGAUGGAUUGGUGCCUUCGGGAAUCUAGAUACAGGUGCUGCAUGGCUGUCGUCAGCUCGUGUCGUGAGAUGUUGGGUUAAGUCCCGCAACGAGCGCAACCCUUUUCCUUAUUUGCCAGCGAGUAAUGUCGGGAACUUUAAGGAUACUGCCAGUGACAAACUGGAGGAAGGCGGGACGACGUCAAGUCAUCAUGGCCCUUACGGCCAGGGCUACACACGUGCUACAAUGGUCGGUAC